RNAcentral lists this ribosomal RNA (119 nucleotides) under Pteropus alecto (black flying fox). RNAcentral also lists the same sequence under 1 other name. Lineage: Eukaryota; Metazoa; Chordata; Mammalia; Chiroptera; Pteropodidae. The record is from RNAcentral.
AUCUACGGCCAUGCCACCCUGAGCAAGCCCGAUGCCAUCUGAUCUCAGAAGCUAAGCAGGGUCAGUUCUGGUUAGUACUUGGAUGGGAGACCACCUAGGAAGACCAGAUGCUAUAGGCG